GUCCAUGCCGUAAACGAUGAUUACUAGGUGUGGGAGGAUUGACCCCUUCCGUGCCGCAGUUAACACAAUAAGUAAUCCACCUGGGGAGUACGAUCGCAAGAUUGAAACUCAAAGGAAUUGACGGGGGCCCGCACAAGCAGUGGAGUAUGUGGUUUAAUUCGAAGCAACGCGAAGAACCUUACCAGGUCUUGACAUAGAAUGCAUACCAUAGAGAUAUGGGAAGCACUUCGGGGCAUUCAUACAGGUGGUGCAUGGUUGUCGU
RNAcentral lists this ribosomal RNA (262 nucleotides) under uncultured bacterium. RNAcentral describes it as "partial 16S ribosomal RNA". It matches the Rfam family "Bacterial small subunit ribosomal RNA", at positions 793 to 1055 of the family's 1533-position model. The record is from RNAcentral.